Molecule: ribosomal RNA, 328 nt
Filed under: uncultured bacterium
Lineage: Bacteria
Description: bacterial SSU rRNA
Rfam family: Bacterial small subunit ribosomal RNA
Source: RNAcentral
UGAGAUGUUGGGUUAAGUCCCGCAACGAGCGCAACCCUUAUCUUUAGUUGCUACCAUUCAGUUGAGAACUCUAAAGAGACUGCCGGUGAUAAACCGGAGGAAGGCGGGGACGACGUCAAGUCAUCAUGGCCCUUAUGGGAUGGGCUACACACGUGCUACAAUGGGAGGUACAAAGAGCAGCCAACUGGCGACAGUGCGCGAAUCUCAAAAAACCUCUCGUAGUCCGGAUUGGAGUCUGCAACUCGACUCCAUGAAGUCGGAAUCGCUAGUAAUCGCAAAUCAGAAUGUUGCGGUGAAUACGUUCCCGGGCCUUGUACACACCGCCCGU